GAUGAACGCUGGCGGCGUGCUUAACACAUGCAAGUCGAACGGAGCUAUGACACGGAGUCUUCGGACGAAGUGCUGUAGCUUAGUGGCGGACGGGUGAGUAACACGUGAGCAACCUACCUUUUGCAGGGGAAUAACUCUGGGAAACCAGAGCUAAUACCGCAUGCCGUGCGCUUGGGGCAUCCCAGGUGCAUGAAAGGAGCAAUCCGGCAGAAGAUGGGCUCGCGUCCGAUUAGGUAGUUGGAGAGGUAAUGGCUCCCCAAGCCGACGAUCGGUAGCCGGACUGAGAGGUCGAUCGGCACAUUGGGACUGAGACACGGCCCAGACUCCUACGGGAGGCAGCAGUGGGAAUAUUGGGCAAUGGGCGGAAGCCUGACCCAGCGACGCCGCGUGAAGGGGAAGGCUUUCGAGUUGUAAACUUCUUUGGGGAGGGACGAAGAUGACGGUACCUCCAGAACAAGCCACGGCUAACUACGUGCCAGCAGCCGCGGU
Molecule: ribosomal RNA, 489 nt
Filed under: uncultured bacterium
Lineage: Bacteria
Description: bacterial SSU rRNA
Rfam family: Bacterial small subunit ribosomal RNA
Source: RNAcentral